Non-coding RNA from Caenorhabditis elegans, 67 nucleotides. The record is from Ensembl. NCBI's taxonomy places the organism in Eukaryota, Metazoa, Nematoda, Chromadorea, Rhabditida, Rhabditidae.
UCCGCAGUCAGCAGGAUUCGAACCUACGCGGGCAGAGCCCAAUUGAUUUCUAGUUAAUCUCCUUAAC